RNAcentral lists this transfer RNA (72 nucleotides) under Chloroflexota bacterium. RNAcentral's name for it is "tRNA-Ala". Lineage: Bacteria; Bacillati; Chloroflexota. The record is from RNAcentral.
UUAGCUCAGCGGGAGAGCACUUGCCUGGCAGCCAAGUGGUACGGCUUACGCCGGCUGCGCCAGGGACCUCCA